AUGCUGCAUGCGAGAUGCGGGAUGCUGGGCACUGGAGGCCCGGGACGCGGGUCCGAGAGCGCGGAAGGGGCGGGGCUGGGCAGCCUAAGAGGCCGCGCUCGCUCCGGACCGCCCUGCCCCAUGUUCCUCCCCGCGUCCCUCCGGCUCCUGGCGCUUCGUAGAGCCCAAAGGCUGAGAGGGGUUAGAGGCGCCGAUCACACCCUAGAAGUCGUUUAUGUCGAGCUGUGGAUGUUACAAGCGUUAUUUGCUUCGGGUCCGCCGAAAUCGAGCCAGAGCUCGGACCAGACAGCUGCUAAAUUCUACGCGGGCCUGGAGGCGCUCGGGUUAAGGCGGGGCCGACUCCGGCCCCCUAAUCCAGAAGACAGGGAAAGCAGGGCUUGUGCGAAUGUUGACCUGGAGGUCUGGAGGCUAAGGCUCCAUCCAGUUCUGUUAGCACCAUAAAAGAUGCCGAUGAGGUGUUCUUUCCAGGUUAUGAUGGAGAAAAGAAAAUUUCUGGGAGUCCCCCCCCCGCCCCCCUACAACUCCCACUCUGGAUGGAGCUCUCCUUUCCUGCCUGGGUCCCUACCAGGAAGAGUGGGGAACUCCAAGGAGGGAGGUGCCUGUUGUGGGGGUGCUGCUGAGCAACCCAGGCAG
RNAcentral lists this long non-coding RNA (633 nucleotides) under Bos indicus x Bos taurus (hybrid cattle). Its description in RNAcentral is "lncRNA (ENSBIXG00005015701.1)". Lineage: Eukaryota; Metazoa; Chordata; Mammalia; Artiodactyla; Bovidae. The record is from RNAcentral.